AAGAAAGCUGUGCAAGAGAGGGAUGAGGCACUGACAAUGAGAAGUGAGACCAACCAAUCCAUUAAAGAGGACAACCUGAAGUUGAUCGCUGAGCUGCAUAGAGUGAGGAAGAAGUACCAGCUGCUGAAAAGGAAGAUGGGGAUUGUCAGGGUGAGUCCGGCAAAGGCCCUCAACUUUCAGGCAGAGGCAGACAGACACAAAGCGACAGGUUCAGGGGACCAGAGAGAGGAGCCUACAGUGUCCGGAUCUAGCUGCAAACUCAUCUUUCCGGGAUCUGCUAUGAGUGUGUUUAUCGGGGGAUUCAGGAAGAUAUGUGAGGGCCCCAAUCCAAAUUAUAAGCUUAGGGAAAAUUGUGCCUCAAAGGUCAAGAGGGGGAUGCAAUUUUUGAACUACAUGGCCAAGAAUGAGACCUACCAGUCCUCUCUCAUUUUCCUGACAGACCAUGACAAAAUAAGGCAGUGACCCCUCCACCUGGCUGCCGGAUGACCGUAAACCAAUGGAAGGGGAUCAACUGGUUGAUGAAGGGCAUUAACAAGUCCAUGAGACGACCAGUUUCCCUUCACCAGGUAAAGGUGAAAGACAACAAGGAAGGCAAGGUGGUGUCCAAAAAGAGCCUGCUGGAGUGCCAGUCUCUUACCAAGGCAAAAAUCCCUCAAGUGCUGAGUAAAUUCUUCUCAAUCUGUGAUGUC
Long non-coding RNA from Oncorhynchus tshawytscha (Chinook salmon), 689 nucleotides. The record is from Ensembl. NCBI's taxonomy places the organism in Eukaryota, Metazoa, Chordata, Actinopteri, Salmoniformes, Salmonidae.